Molecule: transfer RNA, 73 nt
Filed under: Stegodyphus mimosarum
Lineage: Eukaryota; Metazoa; Arthropoda; Arachnida; Araneae; Eresidae
Rfam family: tRNA
About the family: Transfer RNA (tRNA) molecules are approximately 80 nucleotides in length. Their secondary structure includes four short double-helical elements and three loops (D, anti-codon, and T loops).
Source: Rfam by way of RNAcentral
GCCUUCGUGAUGUAGUGGUCAGCACAUUUAGCGCGUAUUCGAGAAGGCCGUGGUUCGAGUCCAGGCGAGGGCA